CACAAAUUCACCCUCCUUGCUGUGCAUUUCCCCCACUGCCUAAUCUAAUUCUCUAGGGUUUUUGGGGCCUAUAUAUACAUGUUUACAACCCUUGGCAAAGGGUUGAACCUCCCAUAUUCAUCAUUCAUGCAGAAAAUUCGUCCAUACUUACCCUAGGCAGCAAAAUACCCCAAAAACACCAUUCUAGUGCCCAGAAAACAUAACAGCCACUCCACCCUCCAACCAUCAAACACUCCUUCACACUCACCCUAAACCUUUCCAUACCAUUCCCCAUCCAUUCUACACCAUAAAACUACCCAAAACCUGUCCAUAACCCAAUCUGCCGUAAGCAAGGGAAAUGAGGAAUCUUGGAUGCACUUGCUGCCAAGUUGGAGCAUUCUA
Molecule: long non-coding RNA, 381 nt
Filed under: Malus domestica (apple)
Lineage: Eukaryota; Viridiplantae; Streptophyta; Magnoliopsida; Rosales; Rosaceae
Description: long non-coding RNA (MDOM_LNC018947)
Source: RNAcentral